CCUACGGGUGGCAGCAGUAAGGAAUAUUGGUCAAUGGGCGCGAGCCUGAACCAGCCAAGUAGCGUGAAGGAUGACUGCCCUACGGGUUGUAGACUUCUUUUAUAAAGGAAUAAAGUGAUGCACGUGUGCCUUUUUGUAUGUACUUUAUGAUUAAGGAUCGGCUAACUCCGUGCCAGCAGCCGCGGUAAUACGGAGGAUCCGAGCGUUAUCCGGAUUUAUUGGGUGUAAAGGGAGCGUAGAUGGGUUGUUAAGUCAGUUGUGAAAGUUCGCGGCUCAACUGUAAAAUUGCAAUUGAUACUGGCAGGCUUGAGUAUAGUUGAGGUAGGCGGAAUUCGUGGUGUAGCGGUGAAAUGCUUAGAUAUCACGAAGAACUUCGAUUGCGAAGGCAGCUUACUAAACUGCCACUGACAUUGAUGAUCGAAAGUGUGGGUAUCAAAUAGGAUUAGAUACCCGAGUAGUC
RNAcentral lists this ribosomal RNA (460 nucleotides) under uncultured bacterium. Its description in RNAcentral is "partial 16S ribosomal RNA". It matches the Rfam family "Bacterial small subunit ribosomal RNA", at positions 338 to 795 of the family's 1533-position model. The record is from RNAcentral.